GGGUAACACUAACUGGAGGACCGAACCGACUAAUGUUGAAAAAUUAGCGGAUGACUUGUGGCUGGGGGUGAAAGGCCAAUCAAACCGGGAGAUAGCUGGUUCUCCCCGAAAGCUAUUUAGGUAGCGCCUCGUGAAUUCAUCUUCGGGGGUAGAGCACUGUUUCGGCUAGGGGGUCAUCCCGACUUACCAACCCGAUGCAAACUACGAAUACCGAAGAAUGUUAUCACGGGAGACACACGGCGGGUGCUAACGUCCGUCGUGAAGAGGGAAACAACCCAGACCGCCAGCUAAGGUCCCAAAGUCAUGGUUAAGUGGGAAACGAUGUGGGAAGGCACAGACAGCCAGGAUGUUGGCUUAGAAGCAGCCAUCAUUUAAAGAAAGCGUAAUAGCUCACUGGUCGAGUCGGCCUGCGCGGAAGAUGUAACGGGGCUAAACCAUGCACCGAAGCUGCGGCAGCGACACUAUGUGUUGUUGGGUAGGGGAGCGUUCUGUAAGCCUGCGAAGGUGUGCUGUGAGGCAUGCUGGAGGUAUCAGAAGUGCGAAUGCUGACAUAAGUAACGAUAAAGCGGGUGAAAAGCCCGCUCGCCGGAAGACCAAGGGUUCCUGUCCAACGUUAAUCGGGGCAGGGUGAGUCGACCCCUAAGGCGAGGCCGAAAGGCGUAGUCGAUGGGAAACAGGUUAAUAUUCCUGUACUUGGUGUUACUGCGAAGGGGGGACGGAGAAGGCUAUGUUAGCCGGGCGACGGUUGUCCCGGUUUAAGCAUGUAGGCUGGUUGUCCAGGCAAAUCCGGAUAAUCAAGGCUGAGGUGUGAUGACGAGGCACUACGGUGCUGAAGUAACAAAUGCCCUGCUUCCAGGAAAAGCCUCUAAGCAUCAGGUAACAUUAAAUCGUACCCCAAACCGACACAGGUGGUCAGGUAGAGAAUACCAAGGCGCUUGAGAGAACUCGGGUGAAGGAACUAGGCAAAAUGGUGCCGUAACUUCGGGAGAAGGCACGCUGGUGUGUAGGUGAAGCCCCUGCGGGUGGAGCUGAGACCAGUCGAAGAUACCAGCUGGCUGCAACUGUUUAUUAAAAACACAGCACUGUGCAAACACGAAAGUGGACGUAUACGGUGUGACGCCUGCCCGGUGCCGGAAGGUUAAUUGAUGGGGUUAUCCGUAAGGAGAAGCUCUUGAUCGAAGCCCCGGUAAACGGCGGCCGUAACUAUAACGGUCCUAAGGUAGCGAAAUUCCUUGUCGGGUAAGUUCCGACCUGCACGAAUGGCGUAAUGAUGGCCAGGCUGUCUCCACCCGAGACUCAGUGAAAUUGAACUCGCUGUGAAGAUGCAGUGUACCCGCGGCAAGACGGAAAGACCCCGUGAACCUUUACUAUAGCUUGACACUGAACAUUGAGCCUUGAUGUGUAGGAUAGGUGGGAGGCUUUGAAGCGUGGACGCCAGUCUGCGUGGAGCCAACCUUGAAAUACCACCCUUUAAUGUUUGAUGUUCUAACGUUGGCCCCUGACCGGGGUUGCGGACAGUGUCUGGUGGGUAGUUUGACUGGGGCGGUCUCCUCCCAAAGCGUAACGGAGGAGCACGAAGGUUAGCUAAUCCUGGUCGGACAUCAGGAGGUUAGUGCAAUGGCAUAAGCUAGCUUGACUGCGAGCGUGACGGCGCGAGCAGGUGCGAAAGCAGGUCAUAGUGAUCCGGUGGUUCUGAAUGGAAGGGCCAUCGCUCAACGGAUAAAAGGUACUCCGGGGAUAACAGGCUGAUACCGCCCAAGAGUUCAUAUCGACGGCGGUGUUUGGCACCUCGAUGUCGGCUCAUCACAUCCUGGGGCUGAAGUAGGUCCCAAGGGUAUGGCUGUUCGCCAUUUAAAGUGGUACGCGAGCUGGGUUUAGAACGUCGUGAGACAGUUCGGUCCCUAUCUGCCGUGGGCGCUGGAGAAUUGAGGGGGGCUGCUCCUAGUACGAGAGGACCGGAGUGGACGCAUCACUGGUGUUCGGGUUGUCAUGCCAAUGGCACUGCCCGGUAGCUAAAUGCGGAAGAGAUAAGUGCUGAAAGCAUCUAAGCACGAAACUUGCCCCGAGAUGAGUUCUCCCUGAGACUUUAAGUCUCCUGAAGGAACGUUGAAGACGACGACGUUGAUAGGCCGGGUGUGUAAGCGCAGCGAUGCGUUGAGCUAACCGGUACUAAUGAACCGUGAGGCUUAACCUU
This 2194-nucleotide ribosomal RNA is filed under the name Klebsiella pneumoniae. RNAcentral describes it as "bacterial LSU rRNA". It matches the Rfam family "Bacterial large subunit ribosomal RNA", at positions 754 to 2925 of the family's 2925-position model. Lineage: Bacteria; Pseudomonadati; Pseudomonadota; Gammaproteobacteria; Enterobacterales; Enterobacteriaceae. The record is from RNAcentral.